This 298-nucleotide ribosomal RNA is filed under the name uncultured eukaryote. RNAcentral describes it as "partial 18S ribosomal RNA". It matches the Rfam family "Eukaryotic small subunit ribosomal RNA", at positions 1470 to 1796 of the family's 1831-position model. The record is from RNAcentral.
CCCUUAGACACUCUAGGCGGCACGCGCGCUACAAUGGGUGGAAGAACGUGUUACUGCCUCCGAAAGGAGGGGUGAAUCACGAAUUCUUGCCCGUGAAUGGGAUAGUUUGUUGCAAUUUUCGGACUUGAACUAGGAAUCCCUUGUAAACAUGCUCAAGAAUAGCGUGUUGAAUACGUCCCUGCCGUUUGUACACACCGCCCGUCGUUUCUUCCGACUGAUACUCAUUGUGAGUUGCAAGGACCCUUUAUUGGGAAAUUGCUGCAAAUGCUUUGUAUUGGAGGAAGAAAAAGUCGGAACA